UACGGAGGGGGCUAGCGUUGUUCGGAAUCACUGGGCGUAAAGGGCGCGUAGGCGGCUUUGUAAGUCGGGGGUGAAAGCCUGUGGCUCAACCACAGAAUUGCCUUCGAUACUGCAUGGCUUGAGACCGGAAGAGGUAAGUGGAACUGCGAGUGUAGAGGUGAAAUUCGUAGAUAUUCGCAAGAACACCAGUGGCGAAGGCGGCUUACUGGUCCGGUUCUGACGCUGAGGCGCGAAAGCGUGGGGAGCGAACAGG
RNAcentral lists this ribosomal RNA (253 nucleotides) under uncultured bacterium. RNAcentral's name for it is "partial 16S ribosomal RNA". It matches the Rfam family "Bacterial small subunit ribosomal RNA", at positions 524 to 776 of the family's 1533-position model. The record is from RNAcentral.